ACGAACGCUGGCGGCGUGCUUAACACAUGCAAGUCGAACGGUGAAGCGCCUUCCUUUUUGGUGGGUGUGGAUGAGUGGCGAACGGGUGAGUAACACGUGAGUAACCUGCCCCCUUCUUCUGGAUAACCGCAUGAAAGUGUGGCUAAUACGGGAUAUUCUGGGUCUGUCGCAUGAUGGGUCUGGGAAAGAUAUUGUUUCGGUGGGGGAUGGGCUCGCGGCCUAUCAGCUUGUUGGUGGGGUGAUGGCCUACCAAGGCGGUGACGGGUAGCCGGCCUGAGAGGGUGGACGGUCACACUGAGACUGAGACACGGCCCAGACUCCUACGGGAGGCAGCAGUGGGGAAUAUUGCACAAUGGGCGCAAGCCUGAUGCAGCGACGCCGCGGGAGGGAUGGAGGCCUUCGGGUUGUGAACCUCUUUCGCCAGUGAAGCAGGCCUGCCUCGUUUGUGGGUGGGUUGACGGUAGCUGGAUAAGAAGCGCCGGCUAACUACGUG
RNAcentral lists this ribosomal RNA (493 nucleotides) under uncultured bacterium. Its description in RNAcentral is "partial 16S ribosomal RNA". It matches the Rfam family "Bacterial small subunit ribosomal RNA", at positions 29 to 507 of the family's 1533-position model. The record is from RNAcentral.